CAUUAUUGAACAAAGGCUUUUGGCUGGAUGUUGUUGUGCUGGCCCUUUUGGUGCAAUGUGCACACUUCCCCCUCCAGUCAUUUGUUUCUUCUGUUCCACCUGUGCACUGCCUGUAGACGCAACUCUGUGUCUAUGAUAAAUGCCUACACACACAAUUGUAUCUGUAUUAGUUGGCAUUAUUACAUGUAUAAAAAUACAACUUUCAACAAUGGAUCUCUUGGCUCUCGCAUCGAUGAAGAACACAGCGAAAUGUGAUAAGUAAUGUGAAUUGCAGAAUCCAGUGAAUCAUCGAAUCUUUGAACGCAUCUUGCGCUCCUUGGCAUUCUGAGGAGCAUGCCUGUUUGAGUGUCAUUAAACUAUCAAAACUCUUUUCACGAGUGUUUUGGACUUUGGGAGUACUUCUGCUGCUCUGUCUGAGCCAGCUCUCCUCAAAAGCAAUUAGUUGGAGAAGACCCAUCAGUGUGAUAAAUCUUUUACACUGGCUUUCUCCUCUUAAUAACUACAUUAUUUGACCUCAAAUCAGGUAGGAUUACCCGCUGAACUUAAGCAUAUCAAUAAGCGGAGGAAAAGAAACUAACAAGGAUUCCCCUAGUAACUGCGAGUGAAGCGGGAAAAGCUCAAAUUUAAAAUCUGGCAGUCUCCUUUUUCUUUUUUGGCUGUCCGAGUUGUAAUCUAGAGAAGUGCUUACCUGCGCUGGA
This 698-nucleotide ribosomal RNA is filed under the name uncultured Amanita. Its description in RNAcentral is "eukaryotic LSU rRNA". The stretch from base 198 to 351 matches the Rfam family "5.8S ribosomal RNA". Lineage: Eukaryota; Fungi; Basidiomycota; Agaricomycetes; Agaricales; Amanitaceae. The record is from RNAcentral.